This 464-nucleotide ribosomal RNA is filed under the name uncultured bacterium. RNAcentral describes it as "partial 16S ribosomal RNA". It matches the Rfam family "Bacterial small subunit ribosomal RNA", at positions 339 to 795 of the family's 1533-position model. The record is from RNAcentral.
CUACGGGAGGCAGCAGUGGGGAAUAUUGCACAAUGGGCGCAAGCCUGAUGCAGCCAUGCCGCGUGUAUGAAGAAGGCCUUCGGGUUGUAAAGUACUUUCAGCGGGGAGGAAGGGAGUAAAGUUAAUACCUUUGCUCAUUGACGUUACCCGCAGAAGAAGCACCGGCUAACUCCGUGCCAGCAGCCGCGGUAAUACGGAGGGUGCAAGCGUUAAUCGGAAUUACUGGGCGUAAAGCGCACGCAGGCGGUUUGUUAAGUCAGAUGUGAAAUCCCCGGGCUCAACCUGGGAACUGCAUCUGAUACUGGCAAGCUUGAGUCUCGUAGAGAGGGGUAGAAUUCCAGGUGUAGCGGUGAUAUGCGUAGAGAUCUGGAGGAAUACCGGUGGCGAAGGCGGCCCCCUGGACGAAGACUGACGCUUAGGUGCGAAAGCGUGGGGAGCAAACAGGAUUAGAUACCCGGGUAGUC